UAGCAGCAGUGAUAACUCUAACCAUCUCUUCAUUGUUCCUGACCUUCACCAUGACGACGACACUCCGACGAGGUACCACUCCGACGACACCACCAUGAAGAACGUCGCUGCGCUCACAAUGCCUCCGCCGACAAUCCCUCUUCCGGCACCCCUAACCCUCCUUCUGCGUUGACUCUCUCUGGCGGUGGCUCCUUCCACUCACUUGCCAUUGCAAACCCUUCCCCUCACUUUUCGUCGCUAACCCAAACCAAAGGCAUUACUAUUAUCAACCCUCAGUCAUCGAUCAUCGUCACCGACUCACCGGUGUUGUCACUGCCAGAUCCAUCUCAGAUAUCAUGGAAGAUGAAAAGGAAAAUAGUAACAUCAACCUUGGCUGCAGAAACUUCUAAAUUGGCCUCUGAUGGUCAAAAUCCUGUUUCUUCUAUCCAUGCCACCCCGCCUCAAUCAGUUAUUCCCCCUUCUAUUGUACCCCCCUUUAGCUCCAAUUCCACCAAAAUAGUGAGGUUGGGUCUGGUGACUCUGAUUCAGAUCACAAUUACUUGGGAGCUAGAAUUAACAAGGCUGCAGGGGAGUAUGAGAUAUCGGUAGAGAGUAGACUAGUAAAAGAGCGCCAAGAAAAGGCAAGGCAAGAACUCAUGCUUAAGAGGCGUGCUGCUGCCCUUGCAGUUCCCACAAACGACAGGGCUAUGCGCCUUUGCAAGCUCGUCUUCGCUACCUUGGUGAGUCUAUAACCCUAUUCGGUGAGAGGGAGAUGGAGAGGAGAGACAGGUUGCGGAUGAUUUUGGUGAAGCUGGAUGCUGAAGGGUCGUGCCGCACCACUGGAACUCACGUUCGUGUUCCUGCUACUGUUCGUGUUCUGGUUAAUGCAGCUGUUCGUGUUUGGGUUGCUCCUGUUGUUCUGCGGGUUCCAUUGUUGAUGUUGUUCACAUUCAUAGUUGCAGGUUUUCUUCUACGCAAAGACAACUCCUGAAAUUGAUCACACAUAUUGGUUGAUUGCUGCUGCUUAUCGCGGUUGUGUCUCUGUUACCCGUGUUCCUGUUGAUGCUGCUGUUCGCAUUCGCGUUCGGGUUCGGGUUCAUGUUGUUGAAACUGUUCGUGUUCCAUUGUUGCUAUAAUUGGCGUUCAUAAUUGCAGCUGUGCUUCUAUACAAAGCAAUGCCGAAGUGAAAACACUUUACUAAUCCCCUGAGAUCAGCUCCUCAACCUGAAAAUGGUGUUGAUCAGUUUAAUGACGAUGUAGUUCACAAUUAACCUAUGCAUGUCUCACCACCUAAUCAUGAUUCAGCAAUGCAAAGCAAUCCGAAUAGUGCUAUGGAUCAUUCACUGCCUAACCAAGGAUCCCAAGAACAUACUAGGCACUUUGGUGGACGUCAAUCUUCUGAAUAUUGGACCGUGGAGACAGUAGGUACAGAUGGAACUAUUAAAACUAGAAGGCUAAAAGUUAAAGAAAUGGAUAACUUAUCUAGAGAUGAGCAAGUUGUUGUAAACUUUGAAGAUUAACAAGCUAGUAGAGAAGCCCAAGGUUUGCUUGUUGGAUAUCUAAGAACAUUGGCAGUUGAUUAUAAGUUAUUUCCAAUCAAUUUCUCAAGGUGGUCAGGACCUUUGGGUAUACCUUGAUCUAGAUUUGAAGAGUGUUUUAGUAACUUGCUAAAGCCAAAAUUUCAUUUCAAAAUUUCUGAGGGCAUUGCAAAGCGAUAUUGCAAAUUGAGCUUGCAAAAAAGUGGUCACAACAUAGAAUUAAGUUAUGGAAUGAGUUCUAUGAUCCAUGCAUGAGUAGACAAGCAAUCAUUGAUAAUGUCUCAGUUGGCAUCGACAGAGAUCAAUGGGCAUCCUUUGUUCAGUAUCGGUUUCUACCUUCUACAACGGAGACGUGUAAGAGAAACAAGUAUGUUCGCAAGAAGCAAACAAUUCCCCGUACUGGUGGCUCGAAACCUAUUUCAAGGGAAAGACAUGAAAUAUUUUUAGAAACUGGACAAAAAAUUAGCCGUGGAGAAAUGUACAUAGAAACUCAUAAGAAGAAAGAUGGGUCGUUUGUGACUGAUGAAGCAAGGGACGUAGCAGAACAAAUUGAAGUACUUAUGACUCAAAAUGAGAAAGAUGACUCAGGACCAUCCACGAAUGAUGCUAUUGGCAAAGUGUUUAGGGAUGAGCAUUCUGGUAGGGUGCGAUGCAUGGGAAUGGGAGCAACACCUACUAAUACUUUCAGAAAUGCCAAUCAUCCUAGCCAGUUAGCUAAUUCUUCAACUUCAAUGUCAUCUACUACCAAUUACUCCCAAGCAGAUUUUAAACAUUUGGAGUCUUAAUUUGAUGGGACAUUGACUGCAUUCAAAGCUUAUUUUCUAGCUAAAGAAGGAAGGAUUCCUAUUGAACUUAUCAGUAUAUUUGACCAUGGAGCUCAGGCUAAUAAUGUUGAGAACGAAACUAUUACACCGAUAACAGGAAGAACAUCAACAGACGGAAGCAAUAAAAAUCGUGAAGACAUUCUUUAGUAUAUCUUUAAGAUUGAUUAGUUGUUUAUUAUUCUACAUUUGUUAGGGUAUUAUGUUGCAUUUUUUUACUAAACAAACUUAUUCAAGUAGUGAAGCCAUUAGUGAUGGUUGUGAAUUUAUAUUAUUUUAGCUUGUUUAAUUUUUAGGAUUAGACAUAUAAAAAC
This is a long non-coding RNA of Arachis stenosperma, 2652 nucleotides long. RefSeq lists it as uncharacterized. Lineage: Eukaryota; Viridiplantae; Streptophyta; Magnoliopsida; Fabales; Fabaceae. The record is from RefSeq and is a predicted model, not a curated record. The transcript has 11 exons.